This 190-nucleotide ribosomal RNA is filed under the name uncultured bacterium. RNAcentral's name for it is "partial 16S ribosomal RNA". It matches the Rfam family "Bacterial small subunit ribosomal RNA", at positions 1311 to 1500 of the family's 1533-position model. The record is from RNAcentral.
CUCGGCUGCAUGAAGCUGGAAUCGCUAGUAAUCGCGGAUCAGAAUGCCGCGGUGAAUACGUUCCCGGGUCUUGUACACACCGCCCGUCACACCAUAGGAGUCGGGAAUGCCCGAAGUCAGUGACCCAACCGAAAGGGGGGAGCUGCCGAAGGCAGGCCUGGUAACUGGGGUGAAGUCGUAACAAGGUAAC